Molecule: ribosomal RNA, 240 nt
Filed under: uncultured bacterium
Lineage: Bacteria
Description: partial 16S ribosomal RNA
Rfam family: Bacterial small subunit ribosomal RNA
Source: RNAcentral
CGUGAGCGGCGGACGGUGAGUAACGCGUGGUACUACCUCAUACAGGGGGAUAACAGUUGGAAACGGCUGCUAAUACCGCAUAAGCGCACAGUACCGCAUGGUACCGUGUGAAAAACUCCGGUGGUAUGAGAUGGACCCGCGUCUGAUUAGCUAGUUGGUGGGGUAACGGCCUACCAAGGCGACGAUCAGUAGCCGACCUGAGAGGGUGACCGGCCACAUUGGGACUGAGACACGGCCCAA